CCCCAUCUCUAUCCUUCCUCCCUACCUCACCGCCCACCUCCUCCCACUAGGGCCGGCGCCCUCUUCCCCUUCUCAGACCACAAACUCUCUCCUAGGGCUCUCCUCUGAUGUUGCCAUGGUCGCUGGUGGAGCGGUAGCCGUGCCUCGCCGCGGUGGUUCCCGCCUUAUCCCGACGUACCUCGGACCCUUUGAGGAGGUUGUGGUCGCCGUCCGGAGCUCUCCACGUGGUGCCGCUGUUGAUCUUGCAGUUAUGAAGGACGCCGUCAGAAGUUGUCCGCGUCGCCGGUGAUCUUGCAGUCAUGGAGGAUGCCAUCAGAAGUUGUCUGCGCCGCUGGUGAUCUUGCAAUCAUGGAUGGCGCAGUCAGAAGUUGUUCCGCACUUGCGUCAGCUCGCCCAUGGCAACACUUUUAUGUGCCACUACACAGCCUCCCGUACUGUCCCAUAGAUGCAGGCAGGGGCGGAUCAGGUAAGGAGGUCCAGCCUCAUCUUCUCCAUCAGUAAGGCUCCGGUAGGCUACGUCUUCCUCAUGUCUCCAUCUCCAGCCUCAUCUUCUCCAUCGGCAAGGCUCCGGUAGGCUACGUCUUCCUCAUGUCUCCAUCUCCGCUUAAGAAGAUAAGCAAAAAAGGGUAAGCAGCAACGGGGCGUGCACAGAAAGCAGUAAAGCUGGUAAAAAGGAUUGAUUUUGUUUCCUACCGGUAAACUCUUAUUGUCAUGCAUAUAGUUGACUUCUUCCUUCAAGUGAUAGUAGCUUCUGUGCCAAGUCUUUUUUUUUUGUUAAUUUUUUUACCUUUUCAUCUUGCAUUUAAGUCGACCAAUUUAUGUACCUUAAAUUCAUGAAUUUGACUGAAUAUUUUUUGGUUUGCCGUUAGAGCGUGUUUAGGGUCAGUUCACAUGUAUUUCUCAGGUUUUUCCAAACUUUUAUGGCCUUUCAUGGCGAUAUUUUUGCUUGGAUUUUGCAUUAGAAUAGUUGUAACUACAUACAGGUCAGAAAUUGGCAGGCUGUCGUCCACGAAUGAAGGAGAUCUUCAUGGGCAAAGUUCAAAAAAAACUCGCACCCAUGUGUUGUGUUUUCUACCUAGGUUCUUUUGCGGUGAGUUUUAUAAAAUUACGCACCACACUGUUUUCUAUUUGUAUGUGCAAAUCUGUAGUGAGGGAGCUAACUUCAGAAGUAUGCAGAUGCCAGGAAGCCAAUUUCAGGUGUCUGCAGCUAUUGCAUUAUGUAUGCUUACUAUUACCAAAUGGUACUUUGUUGUGGCAUAGCCGGUAGUUCCUCUUAUGUGCUUUGUAUUGCUUUUUUAGAUGUAUUCAGUGUGCUGCACACCAUCCCUUAUUUCAUAUGUCCUUUUAUCACUUCUAAUAGUCAUAACCAUUUGAUUCAAUAAAGAGUCAUGGUUUCUUUGUAUUUAGUCUUUUGUUUUACUUUUUCACUUUUAGCUUAUUCGUAUGCAGGGAGAACAAAACUUUGCAUGCUAAGGAAUAGUAAAGUAAUAUUGAGAAUGAUGCAAUUAUUUUCUUCACCUCAACAAAAAAAGUUCAGAGCUGAUCGAUAUAAUUGGCUGAUGUAUGUAAAGGAAGUUAAGUUUUAGUAUUUCAAGAAAGAGGAACAUACCAGCUGUAGUACACCAGCUCGAUUCACCUCCCAUUGUUCUAUGUCCUCCCCGACCACUUGCUGCCGACCAGUACGAACAUACCAGCUGUAGUACACCAGCUCGAUUCACCUCCCAUUGUUCUAUGUCCUCCCCGACCACUUGCUGCCGACCAGUACGAUUCUGGCUCUCCAUCUAUUGCGGCUGCUUGCCAACGAGCAGCCCCUUUUUAUCCAGGCCUCACCAAUAGAACCAGUGCCCCUGAAAAGCUAGAUCUUGAUUACCAACAAAGUUCCAUCGCCAUGCAUUCCAGCAAAAUGGAGCUUCAGUUCAUUCAGGCAAACACAGGUUUUGUCUAUAAAUAUCAUUGUUGCUUUCUAAUUUUGAUGUUUCCUUGGUUAUUUCCUACUGAGUAGUUCCUCUUCUAUGCAGUACCGACCAAAUACACCAUGCGGACUUAAUUGGUUAUAGUUGUAAACCCAAAGACCUAUCAAUGGAAAAUCCUCGCACGCAUUGGCCGCAUUUGGGAAAACAGAGACCAAAAAACACUGCAGAAUAUAUACGAUCUAGGGAUCAUUGUUGUGGACUGUGAUGUGAUAUUCUGCAGUUUUCAGCAUUGAAAUUAUUUUGUCUCCGUAUUUAGUAAAAACAAUGCCCCACUACCUCAACUUAUUUAUCUAUCCUUCUCUUCACAAAGUGAAGAUAGGUUGUGCCUACUUCGCUGCUAGGGAUGAGGUCACUAGAAUUUUACAUGUUCUCUCAUGUGAUGUGAUGUCUAUGCGUUUCAGGCUGUCAAACUUCAAGGCUUUCAACUUUCAAUGUAUAGCAUGUAUAUCGUGCUGCUGUUCCAUGUCCCAGGAUGUUAUGAAGUCCCCUUUCCAUGGCUGAUGUAACUCAACUGUGCAUCUGCUAAGUGCGUGCUUACUUGCUUGACGGUUUGCCAGGAAUGAUACACAAUGAGUAAUGGAGAUAUGGUACAAACUCCACGCCAAUGGAGCCAACGGAACCAACAUUGACCUUAACCGCGAAAGAUGAGGUGAUAGUCGGUUAAACUCUGUUCUUUGGCUCCCCUGCCAUUCCAAGGACAUGCAGAGAUGAGAUGCUCUUUGUGAUCAAUAACAAGGACUGAGCAUACUACUGAUACUACAUCCCACCUCACAUGGCCGUUAUUGUGGGCAAAAAAUCCCAGGCAAUUGCGGGCGCAAGAAUUAGUCUGCCACCACCUCCUGCCCUGCUUGGAAACUUGAGAGGUCCAAAAAUAUCAGAGGAUUGCGGCACCACAUAAGUCACGCCCACCAAAGAUGUCCUGGGACCAAUUAACUCAGACCUAGGUGAGUACAGGUCACGAGAAGAAGAAAUAGACCAAUUGGUCAGGUAAAGAUGCAAAGCCAAAGCUAAAUUGCAUAAACCAUGGCUAAACACGUAAUAUCGUGGUAAACAGUUUCGUUUGCAGAAGCUGUCGAAAUUAAUUAAGGCCAUGGUGAUUGCAAGAACUAGCCAUUCAGAGAACCUAUAUAGAAGAAUUUGAUUUCUUUGCAAUGGCUCAACCGCGACACCAAUGUAGAAUAUGAGGCACCCUUCUAGCAACUCUACAAUAGUGAACAGACCAUUGAGCUAUUGUAACAUUGAGUACCUCUAAUGAAGUAAUAUUAAGUAGCUGAAGUACUAUAAUACUAAGUCGCUUUGUGUAA
Molecule: long non-coding RNA, 3277 nt
Organism: Lolium rigidum
Lineage: Eukaryota; Viridiplantae; Streptophyta; Magnoliopsida; Poales; Poaceae
Exons: 3
Source: RefSeq, a predicted model, not a curated record